GGGGGCGUAGGCUAAUGGUAAACUUCUUCUCUCCAAAAGAAGGGUUCCAGGUUCGAAUCCUGGCGUCCCCG
Molecule: transfer RNA, 71 nt
Filed under: Candidatus Nealsonbacteria bacterium CG18_big_fil_WC_8_21_14_2_50_37_10
Lineage: Bacteria; Candidatus Nealsoniibacteriota
Description: tRNA-Trp
Rfam family: tRNA
About the family: Transfer RNA (tRNA) molecules are approximately 80 nucleotides in length. Their secondary structure includes four short double-helical elements and three loops (D, anti-codon, and T loops).
Source: RNAcentral